UACGUAGGGUCCAAGCGUUAUCCGGAAUCACUGGGCGUAAAGGGCUCGUAGGCGGCCAACUAAGUCAGACGUGAAAUCCCUCGGCUUAACCGGGGAACUGCAUCUGAUACUGGAUGGCUUGAGAUUGGGAGAGGGAUGCGGAAUUCCAGGUGUAGCGGUGAAAUGCGUAGAUAUCUGGAGGAACACCGGUGGCGAAGGCGGCAUCCUGGACCAACACUGACGCUGAGGAGCGAAAGCCAGGGGAGCAAACGGG
Molecule: ribosomal RNA, 253 nt
Filed under: uncultured bacterium
Lineage: Bacteria
Description: partial 16S ribosomal RNA
Rfam family: Bacterial small subunit ribosomal RNA
Source: RNAcentral